RNAcentral lists this ribosomal RNA (253 nucleotides) under uncultured bacterium. Its description in RNAcentral is "partial 16S ribosomal RNA". It matches the Rfam family "Bacterial small subunit ribosomal RNA", at positions 524 to 776 of the family's 1533-position model. The record is from RNAcentral.
UACGUAGGGGGCGAGCGUUGUCCGGAAUCAUUGGGCGUAAAGCGCGUGUAGGCGGCCCGGUAAGUCCGCUGUGAAAGUCCAGGGCUCAACCCUGGGAUGCCGGUGGAUACUGUCGGGCUCGAGUCCGGAAGAGGCGAGUGGAAUUCCUGGUGUAGCGGUGAAAUGCGCAGAUAUCGGGAGGAACACCAAUGGCGAAGGCAGCUCGCUGGGACGUUACUGACGCUGAGACGCGAAAGCGUGGGGAGCAAACAGG